AUUAUUAAAGAGCUUAACAUUGUUAGUAAAUAAAAAUUAUGAAAGCAAAAAAUUAUGGCGGUAUUUUAAGCUUUUCAGAGGAAUUUGCUCUUUAAUGGAUAAAACACCUAAAUCUUACUUAAAUUUGUUAAUCCAAUUUGUAUACCACUAUAAAAACAAUUAAUAACUUUAAUUGUUAAAAUUUACUAAAUUAAAUUAUAUUAAGUCAAGGUGCAGUAAAAAUUUAAGAAUGAAGUGAAUUACAUUACUUUUUAGAGAGAGAGAAAAAUUAAAUUUAUAUUUAGGAUUUGAAAGUAAAAUUGAAAUAGAAUGUCAAUUUGAAUUAAGCUCUAAAAUAUGUAC
Molecule: ribosomal RNA, 342 nt
Filed under: Rhipicephalus pusillus
Lineage: Eukaryota; Metazoa; Arthropoda; Arachnida; Ixodida; Ixodidae
Description: partial 12S ribosomal RNA
Source: RNAcentral